RNAcentral lists this transfer RNA (76 nucleotides) under Planctomycetota bacterium. Its description in RNAcentral is "Planctomycetes bacterium tRNA-Phe". It matches the Rfam family "tRNA". Rfam says of the family: Transfer RNA (tRNA) molecules are approximately 80 nucleotides in length. RNAcentral also lists the same sequence under 1 other name. The record is from RNAcentral. Lineage: Bacteria; Pseudomonadati; Planctomycetota.
GGGGGGAUAGCUCAGUUGGUAGAGCAGAGGAUUGAAAAUCCUCGAGUCGGCGGUUCAAGUCCGCCUCUCCCCACCA